This 527-nucleotide ribosomal RNA is filed under the name uncultured Sphingobacteriales cum 'Crenotrichaceae' bacterium. RNAcentral describes it as "bacterial SSU rRNA". It matches the Rfam family "Bacterial small subunit ribosomal RNA", at positions 368 to 896 of the family's 1533-position model. Lineage: Bacteria; Pseudomonadati; Bacteroidota; Sphingobacteriia; Sphingobacteriales. The record is from RNAcentral.
GCUACCAUGGCGCAGCCUGACGCAGCCACGCCGCGUGCCGGAUGAAGGCCCUAUGGGUUGUAAACGGCUUUUACUAGGGAAGAACGAGAGGGUUUUGAUCUUCUGUGACGGUACCUAGUGAAUAAGCACCGGCUAACUCCGUGCCAGCAGCCGCGGUAAUACGGAGGGUGCAAGCGUUGUCCGGAAUCAUUGGGUGUAAAGGGUACGUAGGCGGGAGCCUAAGUCUGGGGUGAAAUCUUGCCGCUUAACGGUAAAAUGGCCUUGGAUACUGGGUUUCUUGAGUGCAGAAGAGGCAGGUGGAAUUCGUGGUGUAGCGGUGAAAUGCUUAGAUAUCACGAAGAACAUCAGUGGCGAAGGCGGCCUGCUGGUCUGCAACUGACGCUGAGGUACGAAAGCGUGGGGAGCGAACAGGAUUAGAUACCCUGGUAGUCCACGCCGUAAACGAUGCAUACUAGGUGUUGGCCUUAGGGCCAGUGCUGCAGUUAACGCAUUAAGUAUGCCACCUGGGGAGUACGUCGGCAACGAUG